AGCAUUUCUAAUCCGUUCUGAGAUUUCGUCAGACACCAACCCAUUUUGGCUGAUCAAACUUCUAAGAUAAGUGAAGUU
This 78-nucleotide microRNA precursor is filed under the name Schistosoma margrebowiei. RNAcentral's name for it is "mir-3492 microRNA precursor family". It matches the Rfam family "mir-3492 microRNA precursor family". The record is from Rfam by way of RNAcentral. Lineage: Eukaryota; Metazoa; Platyhelminthes; Trematoda; Strigeidida; Schistosomatidae.